AGUGAACGCUGGCGGCAGGCCUAACACAUGCAAGUCGAACGGCAGCACAGUAAGAGCUUGCUCUUACGGGUGGCGAGUGGCGGACGGGUGAGGAAUACAUCGGAAUCUACUUUUUCGUGGGGGAUAACGUAGGGAAACUUACGCUAAUACCGCAUACGACCUACGGGUGAAAGCAGGGGAUCUUCGGACCUUGCGCGAUUGAAUGAGCCGAUGUCGGAUUAGCUAGUUGGCGGGGUAAAGGCCCACCAAGGCGACGAUCCGUAGCUGGUCUGAGAGGAUGAUCAGCCACACUGGAACUGAGACACGGUCCAGACUCCUACGGGAGGCAGCAGUGGGGAAUAUUGGACAAUGGGCGCAAGCCUGAUCCAGCCAUACCGCGUGGGUGAAGAAGGCCUUCGGGUUGUAAAGCCCUUUUGUUGGGAAAGAAAAGCAGCAGGUUAAUACCCCGCUGUUCUGACGGUACCCAAAGAAUAAGCGCCGGCUAACUUCGUG
RNAcentral lists this ribosomal RNA (492 nucleotides) under uncultured bacterium. Its description in RNAcentral is "partial 16S ribosomal RNA". It matches the Rfam family "Bacterial small subunit ribosomal RNA", at positions 29 to 507 of the family's 1533-position model. The record is from RNAcentral.